RNAcentral lists this ribosomal RNA (254 nucleotides) under uncultured bacterium. Its description in RNAcentral is "partial 16S ribosomal RNA". It matches the Rfam family "Bacterial small subunit ribosomal RNA", at positions 524 to 776 of the family's 1533-position model. The record is from RNAcentral.
UACAGAGGUCUCAAGCGUUGUUCGGAUUCAUUGGGCGUAAAGGGUGCGUAGGCGGGUCUUUAAGUCAGGGGUGAAAUCCUGGAGCUCAACUCCAGAACUGCCUUUGGGACUGCGAGGCUUUGAGGACUGGAGAGGUGAGUGGAAUUCCCAGUGUAGAGGUGAAAUUCGUAGAUAUUGGGAAGAACACCGGUGGCGAAGGCGGCUCACUGGCCAGUUUCUGACGCUGUAGCGCGAAAGCGUGGGGAGCAAACAGG